Paragonimus heterotremus is the source of this 81-nucleotide non-coding RNA. The record is from the annotation of a GenBank genome assembly. Lineage: Eukaryota; Metazoa; Platyhelminthes; Trematoda; Plagiorchiida; Troglotrematidae.
GGAUUCGUAGCUCAGCUGGUAGAGCGCUUGCCGCACUAAGGCACAGCGUUUCUGUCGUUGGUUCAAAUUCAGCGGAAUCCC